UAAAUAGUCAACAUUUGUUUAUUAAUUCAAAACUCAUAUGACAUAAUGAGGUAAUGCAACCUACCCAAGUACUGUGUUAAUGUAAUAGUACAAAGUGACAAAAUAUUAAAAAAGAACAAUAACAACAUAAAACACACAAAGCAAACCUAUCAAAUGAGCAAAAAAAUAAAUACAAAAAGAGAGAGAUGCAAACUCUGAUUUAAUGUCUUCUUAUGACAGGUCUUCUCCCACGGUAUUCGCAUACCAGCAACUGAAAUCUUUACUAGCAAAAAUGUCACCUAGAGUGAACCCUCUUGGGCAGAGCACUUGUCAUUUGAAAAAAAAUGUGUACGCAAAUGCGACCGAAUAAGAAGUUAAUGAGUAUGUUAUUAGAGAUGUGUGCCCUUGAGAUCCCAGCUUCGUGACUGCAUGGCAUAGUAACUUAAAAAGACUCUGAUGAAUGGUUGCCGAUUUUUCAAGCACAUAAGGGCCUAACGUCCUAUAUACUAUAUAGGUGGUACCUGGCCCCGACAAGAUUAUCAUGUCAGCUCUUCUCCUGCUUCAUACAUGCCAGGGACCCUGCUCCAUAUUUGGUGGUCUUGCCCUCACAUUGCUCCCUAUUGGGGCAUAGUAACCCAACUGUUAAGUCACUACUCCAGUCACACAUUAACCCAGACCCCAGGUGUCUCUUCUAUCUCUAUUGCCGUACCCAUUACCAUGUAUAGACCAAAAAUUGCUUUCCCAAGUGUAUUAUAUGCAGCUUCUACUCUGCUUGCUUGGUCAUAUAAAUCUCAAACAGUGACUCGCAACCAAGCCUUAAAACAUAGAUUAAAUAGAUUUCCCUCAAUUUGACAUAUGAAAAAAAUGGAGUGGUGGUAUGAAUUUCUACAAACACAUCCACAGUAUAAUGUAUGUAUUGGUCUUGAGUUGACAUAGCCAAGGAUGAAUAAUGUUAAGAUAAGGCCAGGGACUAAUGAAAGUAUUUAGAAAAUUGGGCAGACUAGAUGGGCCGAAUGGUUCUUAUCUGCCGUCACAUUCUAUGUUUCUAUGUUAAGGCCUACAGACCACAGACCUGCUGUGGCAGUGCAGGGUAUGAGGAAGUAUGUAUGUGUAAUGAAUAGAGAUAUAUGUACAUCAUUGUUACCACUGCUUUCAUUUAACUUUUGUACCAUUUUUCCUCCUCCACUCCCAUUUUUUCUCUUCCUUAGUACCCACUGGUUAACACAGUAAUUUCUGUAAAAUGUGUAUCUAAUCAUUGUCUCAUAAUAUCUGUAACUAUCCUGAAAAACAAAACAAUAACAUUUCAAGUUUAAAAAAGGUUUAACAUUUAAAUACUUUCUUAUUAUAUUGCUUAUUUUUUUGUUAAUAUUAAUAUAUUUUAAUAUUUGAAAACAAUAUAUAUUUUAAAAGUCUAUCCAUAAAUAUGAAGUCAUUCGAAUAGUUUAUUUAAAAUUAUUACAUUAAGGCCAUAGCAAAGGCUUACUCUGCUUACUGAAUAGCAAUUUCUCAUAGACUUUGAUGGCGUAAUUGCUAUUAAGUAAACAGAAAGUAAACUCUUACUCUGCUAUUAUUAUUAUUAUUAUUAUUAUUAUUUUAUUAUUUAUAUAGCGCCAACAAAUUCCGUAGCGCUGUACAAUGGGUGGACUAACAGACACAUAAUUGAGAUCAGACCACUGACGUACAGGAACAGAGGGGGUUGAGGACCCUGCUCGAUGAGCUUACAUGCUAGAGGGAGUGGGGUAUAUUGACACAAAGGGUUAAAGUAGGGGAAUUAAAUAGUUUGUUACAGAAGGGUUUAUUGAGUGCUUGGUAGGUCAUUUUUGACAGGUGCAGGAACGGAGUCAUGGGGUGGGGGAUGAGAAACCUGCUGACAGUUUAAUUGAUACGCUUUAAUGAAGAAGUGAGUUUUCAAAGAUGCUAUGAGAAUCCAGUCCCAGGAGAUGUUUUGUGGUGCACAUUGAUUAUUAAAGGAUCACUAAAGUGACAGGAAAACAAAGCGGUUUUCCUGACACUAUAGUGCCCUGGUGGUGCCCCCACCCUCAGGGUCCCCCUCCCGUGGCACUGAAGGGGUUAAAACCCCUUCAGCAGCUUACCUUAAUCCAGCACCGGGCUCCCUCGGCACUGGUGACCUCUCCUCCCCCGCCAACGUCAGCUCCCCCGUCUGACGUCGGCGGAGACGAAUGCACAUGCCCGACAAUGCCACACGCGCAUUCAAAGUGUCCAUAGGAAAGCAUUUCUCAAUACUUUCCUAUGGACGCUCUGCGUGAUGGAGAAAGCUAGCACCUAUAGCCAGGGAACUGAGAGACUCAGGAAUAAGAUACCGCUGGGGGGUGGAGGGUUCCCUCCUAAGCGAAAUAGAGGGUGACAGUAUGAUCCUGACAUCAGAGGAUGACCCAGAGCCCUUUCUGCAAAAGAUGAGGAUGGCCUCAACACAGGGAGCCCCCCACACCAACCAAGAGAACCGGAACAACAGAGAGUCCGAAUGAGAAUGACUGCACACAGAGCAAGCCAACCAGCUUCAAAGUGAAGAGACUAAUCCCAGCACACAGAACCACAGAACCAGAACCACAACCACCACCAGGGAAGAAAAACCAAACAAAAAUGGUCACCAACAGAGACUCCUUAUGGUAAACAAACCUGACCUGCUGACCCACCAAGAUCGGCCGCUGAUCCUGAGGAAAACCACAGAGGCAAAUAUGACGUCUAUCUGGUGCCCCGCUAAGUACCAAGCAGACACCCCUAUGUGACAAUCAUAACAGAGACCCAGGUGCCAGCACACCUGUAUAACCCACAGAGACUUCCUAUAUACACCGCAAAUGGACCUACCUAAAUAUACUGCAUUACUAACAAAUGACAUCACUAACUAUACCGCAUAAGUGUAUAAAUGGCACUACUACACAUUUAGCUGCAUUCUUAAACAUAUCGCAUUACUUGAUAUAUACCAUAAAUGUAUUAUAGCGUUGCUACAUACGUUACAUAUCUACAUGGACAGCAGCACUUCACAAGUCACAGUGGUAGACAGGGGCAGACUGAGAACCCUCAGGGCCCCCGGGCAAAAUAAAUCAAGGGCCCCCUUACAGGCCCCACCCAUACUCUGCAGCAAGCGCCACCCUUGUUCCGCCUCCAGCCACACCCUACACAAUCUUUAGACACAAGGAACAAAAGGGCAAUAAGCCCUUCGAGGCCCCAGUAGAGACUACAAUUGAGGGCUAAUGGGCCAUGGAGGGGAGUCUUUCUAGCGGAGGCUAUCUCAGUGUCCUUUAGAGAGUGUGUUAGAAAGAAUCCCCUCCAAGCCCCAUUAGAGACUACAAUGGAGUCUAAAAGGCUUGGAAGGGGGUCUUUCUAACAGAGGCCAUCUCAGCGUCCAUUAGAUAUCCCCUGCUGGAAACAGUCGCCUCCAGGCCCCAGUAGAGACUACAAUUGAGGGCUAAUGGGCCAUGGAGGGGAUUUCUAGCAGAGGCUUGAGUCUAAUGGGGCCUGGAGGGUGGUCUCUCCAACACUCUGGUUCCUAUUCACAAUAUAGCAACACAACAUAGCUCGCUGAUACCUAGGCCAAGUUGGCUCCUCUUACCUUAAUUACUGUUGCUGGCUAGCAGUCUGUGGGCUGGCUGGCAGUCUGUGGGCUUGCUGGCUGCGGCUGGCAGGCUGUGGGCUUGCUGACUGCGGCUGGCAGGCUGCGGCUUGCUGCCUGCGGCUGGCAGGCUGUGGGCUUGCUGGCUGUAAGCCUGUGGCUUGCUGUAGGCCUGUGGGCUGGCUACUGGGGCACUUGUAGAUUAUUUAAAGAAAUAAUCAAUGCACAAUAACCACUACUGCUCCAGAGUAAGUAGUCAAACCGUUUAAGAAUUUACCUGGGGUCUGCUGGGAUAUGGGGCUGUAGUAAGGAAUAGGAGCAGUGGUGCAAUGUGUGUGAAAGGUUCAGUGUGUGUGUGGGGGUGUAUUGUGUGAAUGUGUAGGGUGUGUGGGCUGUGCAUGUGUGUGGCAAUGUUAGUAUGGGGGGCUGUGUGUAUAUGGGUGGGCAGUGUAUGUGUGUGUGUGAGGCAAUGUGUGUAAAUGUGAAUGGUGUGUAUGGGGGCAGUGUGUGAAUGUGCAUGGUGUGUGUGUGUGGGGGCAGUGUGUUUAUGGGGCUAGAGUUCACUCUCACCACUGCGACCACCAGGAAUCCCUGAGUUGACUCUCUCAAGAGCGGUAACGUUGCCAUGGUAACCACGGCAACGCUCUGUGCUCGCGCAAGAAGGACCCAGAGGAGCUGCAGGGUGAGCUCCCAGGUCCUCUCUUCCUCCCUCCCCUGCCCGCACGGUGCCUGCGGACAGGGGAGGGGGGACAAUUGCCCCGUUGCCCCCCUGGAUCCACCAGUGAUAUAUACAGGCCUUCUGUGUGCCUUUUGUCUCCCCCAGUCCCUCUGUAUGUUUCUUUCUCCCCCCUCCUUCCCAGUC
Pelobates cultripes (western spadefoot toad) is the source of this 4412-nucleotide non-coding RNA. The record is from the annotation of a GenBank genome assembly. NCBI's taxonomy places the organism in Eukaryota, Metazoa, Chordata, Amphibia, Anura, Pelobatidae.